UUUUGUGUGACAUGUACAGGAUAGGUAGGAGCCGUUGAUAUCGGAACGCUAGUUUCGAUGGAGGCAUUGGUGGGAUACUACCCUUGUUAUAUGAAAGCUCUAACCUACACCAUUUAGCGUGGUGAGGGACAGUGUCUGGUGGGCAGUUUGACUGGGGCGGUCGCCUCCUAAAAUGUAACGGAGGCGCUCAAAGGUUCUCUCAGAAUGGUUGGAAAUCAUUCGCAGAGUGUAAACGUAUAAGAGAGCUUGACUGCGAGACUGACAAGUCGAGCAGGGACGAAAGUCGGAGUUAGUGAUCCGGUGGUACCAUAUGGAAGGGCCAUCGCUCAACGGAUAAAAGCUACCCUGGGGAUAACAGGCUUAUCUCCCCCAAGAGUUCACAUCGACGGGGAGGUUUGGCACCUCGAUGUCGGCUCAUCGCAUCCUGGGGCUGUAGUCGGUCCCAAGGGUUGGGCUGUUCGCCCAUUAAAGCGGUACGCGAGCUGGGUUCAGAACGUCGUGAGACAGUUCGGUCCCUAUCCGUCGCGGGCGUAGGAAAUUUGAGAGGAGCUGUCCUUAGUACGAGAGGACCGGGAUGGACAUACCUCUGGUGUACCAGUUGUGCCGCCAGGCGCAUCGCUGGGUAGCUACGUAUGGACGGGAUAAACGCUGAAAGCAUCUAAGUGUGAAGCCCCCCUCGAGAUGAGAUUUCCCAUUCCUUUAUGGAAGUAAGAUCCGUUAAAGAACAUGACGUAGAUAGGCUGCGGGUGGAAGUGUAGCGAUACAUGGAGCUGAGCAGUACUAAUAGAUCGAGGACUUAAUCGA
Molecule: ribosomal RNA, 804 nt
Filed under: Companilactobacillus halodurans
Lineage: Bacteria; Bacillati; Bacillota; Bacilli; Lactobacillales; Lactobacillaceae
Description: Lactobacillus halodurans partial 23S ribosomal RNA
Rfam family: Bacterial large subunit ribosomal RNA
Source: RNAcentral